Hordeum vulgare subsp. vulgare (domesticated barley) is the source of this 2511-nucleotide RNA transcript. RefSeq lists it as uncharacterized. The transcript is spliced from 14 exons. The record is from RefSeq and is a predicted model, not a curated record. Lineage: Eukaryota; Viridiplantae; Streptophyta; Magnoliopsida; Poales; Poaceae.
CCCUACCCUGGUUUCUUUCGCUGACAAAGACCCAAAUCUGCUCCCUGAGCCCCUCUUCUCUCCUCAGUCUCGGAGCCAGGGGCGAUCCGUCGACCUCGCCUCUCCGCCGCCGCAAUCUCCUCCUUCCUCUCCUCGUCAGUUACUACCGUGAGCUGAGUGAGAUCGAUAAAGAGUGGAGCUUGCCAGUUCAGCCUCAAGAGUGAGGGGAGAGUCUCAGGCUUGGGAACCUUUUCCUUUGGACACAUAGCUUGAUAAAAGCAACACCCGGGUGUCGCCGAAGAAGCAUAGAUCGGGAGUUUUCUUGGCCUGAGAACUACAGGAGAGCAGCGUAGUGAUAGCAUGGCUUCAAAGCUUGUGGUUCUUGGAAUCCCUUGGGAUGUGGAUACAGAAGGAUUAAAAGAGUACAUGAGCAAGUUUGGCUCCCUGGAUGAUUGCAUUGUUAUGAAGGAUCGCUCAUCUGGUCGAUCUCGUGGUUUUGGAUACGUGACAUUUUCAUCGGUAGAGGAUGCAAAGAAUGUCGUUAACUCCGAGCAUAUUCUUGGAGACCGAACUCUGGAAGUGAAGAUAGCGACUCCCAAGGAAGAAAUGCGAGCUUCAGGAAACAAGAAAGCUACUAGGAUAUUCGUUGCUCGGAUUCCACAGUCUGUGGACGAGUCAAUGUUUCGCAGGCAUUUUCAGUCUUUUGGAGAAAUAACAGAUCUUUAUAUGCCCAAGGAACUGGGUUCAAAAGAACAUCGUGGAAUUGGGUUUGUUACUUUCCGGAGUGCAGAAUGCGUGGACAAUGUCAUGCAAGAAAAUCAUGAGAUUGAUGGCACAACCGUUGUUGUUGAUCGUGCAACUCCGAAGCAGGAUGAAGAAGUCAGACAUCCUCCAAGGAGGGGGGGAGCAGAGCGCGAGGGUGGUUAUGGCUCAUACAAUGCAUACAUUACAGCUGCUACCAGAUAUGCAGCUCUGGGCGUACCAACACUGUAUGAUCAUCCUGGACCAGCUUAUGGAAGAGGAUACUUAAAUGAGCCCCCUGUAUCAAGCAAAAAGAUAUUUGUUGGCAGACUCCCGCAAGAAGCGAAUACUGAUGAUUUAUGGGAUUAUUUUGGCCGAUUUGGCAGAAUUGUGGAUGCAUACAUUCCAAAGGAUCCUAAGAAGAGCGGCCACCGGGGUUUUGGUUUUGUUACUUUUGCUGAGGAUGGUGUAGCAGAUCGUGUAGCACGAAGAAGUCAUGAAAUUUUGGGACAGGAGGUUGCUGUAGACUCAGCUGCACCCGUUGAGGGUGGCCCCAGUCGAGGCGGUUACAUGGAACCACCAGGGCCUUAUGGAGCUUACGGCCCGAUGAUGUCUUAUGGCCAGUUCUCUGGCAGUCUUGGUUAUGAUGUAAUGCCGCGUGCGUGCUGACCAAGCGACCAGUUCUUGCUGGCCGCCCUACCCAUUUAUCUCGCCGUUGUCAACUACAGUAUCACGUAACUUGUCAUGGAAAACCCGGCGUUCACGGCGGAGCUGGACGUCACCCGGGGCUCAUCCUACGGUAGCUUCGUCUCCGGCGUGCGCGACCAGCUCGUGCUCCACGCCGGGGCGACGCGCCACCUGGAGCUUGUCUUGCUUCCUCCCCAGGCAGAGGAUCCCCGCAAGGCCCCAUGGUUCGGCGUCACGCUCCGGUGCGGCUCCGGGCAGCCGGCGCUGCUCCGCAUACGCGCAGACAACAUCUACCUCUGCGGUUACCGGAGCUCGGACGGCCUGUGGUCCGAGUUCCCCGGCUGCUCCCUCAUCGCCGGCGCAACGCCGCUCCCGUUCGGCGAUAGCUACGGCGCCAUGGCGAGAGUGGCCGAGACGGCACUCGAGUCACUCACCCUCGGCAAGGAGGAGCUCGAGGCCGCGGCGGAGCGCCUCGCGGCCAACGCCGGCACCCAGCAGGAGAUCGCGAGAUCGCUGAUGACCAUGUCGGUGAUGGUCAGCGAAGCCAUCAGGUUCAGGAGCGUCGGCGGCGCGCUCGGCCACAUGAUGUGCAACGCCGCCCGGCGAGGGGUGCUGCCGGCGCACAUGGUCGACCAGGUGAAGAACUGGAGUAGCCUGUCCGAGUACUGGCUCGGGGCCGUCCUCUACGGUCAGCCGUCCCCGCGGCCUCCCGUCGUGGCCGGCUGUAGCCAACAGCAUGUCUACAUCCCUCAGCAUCUGCACGCGCCGGCCAAGAUCGACUGCCAGGACCACGCCAUGAUGGCGCUCGGCGUCGCGCUGAACCGGCGGAGGGGACUGCAGGACAAGCACAGGGCGGCGCUCGACGAGCAUUGGCGCGCCGUUCGCGCCCACGCUCGCAAGCUUGACAGGGAAAGAGCAUCUGCAUCUGGUACAUGAUGAGUCGGGCUGUCAGAGUAUUAUGCUGGUGAGAGAACGAACAUGCUUUCCUAUACCUGGUAUAUUUGCCCUUUUGGCUUGAAAUGUGACCCAUGUUACAGAGGUUAUCAUCCUCCGGGUAAUGUUGCUAUAUCUGUAUCAGCAGAAAUGGAUUUACAGAACCGCAUA